RNAcentral lists this ribosomal RNA (253 nucleotides) under uncultured bacterium. RNAcentral's name for it is "partial 16S ribosomal RNA". It matches the Rfam family "Bacterial small subunit ribosomal RNA", at positions 524 to 776 of the family's 1533-position model. The record is from RNAcentral.
GACGAACCGUCCAAACGUUAUUCGGAAUCACUGGGCUUACAGAGUUCGUAGGCGGUCUGGAAAGUUGGGUGUGAAAUCCCUCGGCUCAACCGAGGAACUGCGCCCAAAACUACCGUGCUCGAGGAAGAUAGAGGUGAGCGGAACUUACGGUGGAGCGGUGAAAUGCGUUGAUAUCGUAAGGAACACCCGUGGUGAAAGCGGCUCACUGGGUCUUUUCUGACGCUGAUGCACGAAAGCUAGGGGAGCAAACGGG